Molecule: ribosomal RNA, 253 nt
Filed under: uncultured bacterium
Lineage: Bacteria
Description: partial 16S ribosomal RNA
Rfam family: Bacterial small subunit ribosomal RNA
Source: RNAcentral
UACAGGGGGUGCAAACGUUGCUCGGAAUCAUUGGGCGUAAAGCGCACGUAGGCGGUUCGUUAUGUCGGAUGUGAAAGCCCUUGGCUUAACCGAGGAAGUGCAUCCGAAACUGACGAGCUAGAGUACGAAAGAGGAUCGCGGAAUUCCCGGUGUAGAGGUGAAAUUCGUAGAUAUCGGGAGGAACACCGGUGGCGAAGGCGGCGAUCUGGGUCGAUACUGACGCUGAGGUGCGAAAGCGUGGGGAGCAAACAGG